Ribosomal RNA from Cercocebus atys (sooty mangabey), 123 nucleotides. NCBI's taxonomy places the organism in Eukaryota, Metazoa, Chordata, Mammalia, Primates, Cercopithecidae. The record is from Ensembl.
ACUUACGGCCGUGUCACCCUGAAUGUGCCUGAUCUCAUCAGAUCCUGGAAGCUAAGCAGGGUCAGGCCUGGUGACUACCUGGAUGGGAGAAGAGGAGGAGUUGCCUCACAGAUGCUCUAGUUG